RNAcentral lists this unclassified non-coding RNA (318 nucleotides) under Hevea brasiliensis (rubber tree). The record is from RNAcentral. Lineage: Eukaryota; Viridiplantae; Streptophyta; Magnoliopsida; Malpighiales; Euphorbiaceae.
GGGCGGUUGAUACUGAAUCUAGUAAAUUUUGGUGGGAAACUACUAAAUUAUGGGGCGGAGUUGCUAUCGAAGAUGUUAAAUUUUGCUGGGCAACUGAUAUUGAACCUGGUAGAUGUUGUUGGAAAACUGGUACUGAAUCUGGUUGAUCUUGCUGGGGGACUAGUGAAUUUUGUUGCGGAACAGUUACCAAAACUGGUAAAUUUUACUGGAAAACAGGUCUUGUACCUGAUAGAUUAUAGUGGGGAACUGCUGAUGAAGCUGAUAGAUUUUGGUGCGGAAUGGCUAUCGAAACUGGUAAAUUUUGGUGGGCAAUUGAUA